Molecule: long non-coding RNA, 1066 nt
Filed under: Olea europaea (common olive)
Lineage: Eukaryota; Viridiplantae; Streptophyta; Magnoliopsida; Lamiales; Oleaceae
Description: long non-coding RNA (OEUR_LNC009181)
Source: RNAcentral
ACAAAUGCAAUGCCCGUGACAACACAGUAAUCCUAUAAAGGUAUGCCACUGUACGUUCACGGGCUUCUAUUCUUAUUGUUUUGCACACCUCCCCGCCCUUUUUUUUUUUAUAUAACAGCCCCAUGCAUUUCAUCCAACCUCACAGAGCAAGCAAAAGAAACAGAGUUCAAAAAAUCCUAUAAUAUGGAGGCAUAUCAGAAGGUUGCGAUUUCGAUGCUGCUUUUUGUGGCCAUAAGCAGUAACGUUAUCGAGGUGUUGAAUGCACAAACCAUAUGCAACAUGUCCGGUGCGGGUCUGAUGGCAUGCAAGCCAGCCGCUACACCCCCGACCCCACCACCUCCCUCGUCCGCCUGUUGUUCUGCGCUCUCACACGCAGACUUGCGCUGCCUUUGCUCCUACGCCGUAAGGUAUUUCCUUUUCCUCUUCAAUCUGUCGAGUUUGUAGCCUUCUAAUGACCUUAUAAAUUUCAGUACAAGACAAAAUUGUGAUUUGAUCACGGGAAAUAAUCAAAUUUUUAAUUCAUUCUCAAUUUGAUACAACGAUAAUGUUUCUGAAAUUGACUUCUCAGGGACUCUCACACCACAAAUGCAAUGCCCGUGAGAACACAGUAAUCCUAUAAAGGUAUGCCACUGUACAUUCACGGGCUUCUAUUCUUAUUGUUUUGCAUACCUCCCCGCCCCUUUUUUUUAUAUAACAGCCCCAUUCAUUUCAUCCAACCUCACAGAGCAAGCAAAAGAAACAGAGUUCAAAAAAUCCUAUAAUAUGGAGGCAUAUCAGAAGGUUGCGAUUUCGAUGCUGCUUUUUGUAGCCAUAAGCAGUAACGUUAUCGAGGUGUUGAAUGCACAAACCAUAUGCAACAUGUCUGGUGCGGGUCUGAUGGCAUGCAAGCCAGCAGCUACACCCCCGACCCCACCACCUCCCUCGUCCGCCUGUUGUUCUGCGCUCUCACACGCAGACUUGCGCUGCCUUUGCUCCUACAAGAACUCCAAAUUGUUGCCGUCCCUGGGAGUCGACCCAAAUCUUGCCAUGCAGCUGCCGGCUAAGUGCAAACUUCCUCAUCCAGCAA